RNAcentral lists this ribosomal RNA (497 nucleotides) under uncultured bacterium. RNAcentral describes it as "partial 16S ribosomal RNA". It matches the Rfam family "Bacterial small subunit ribosomal RNA", at positions 28 to 507 of the family's 1533-position model. The record is from RNAcentral.
GAUGAACGCUGGCGGCGUGCCUAAUACAUGCAAGUCGAGCGAACAGACGAGGAGCUUGCUCCUUUGACGUUAGCGGCGGACGGGUGAGUAACACGUAGGUAACCUACCUAUAAGACUGGGAUAACUUCGGGAAACCGGAGCUAAUACCGGAUAAUAUUUCGAACCGCAUGGUUCGAUAGUGAAAGAUGGCUUUGCUAUCACUUAUAGAUGGACCUGCGCCGUAUUAGCUAGUUGGUAAGGUGACGGCUUACCAAGGCAACGAUACGUAGCCGACCUGAGAGGGUGAUCGGCCACACUGGAACUGAGACACGGUCCAGACUCCUACGGGAGGCAGCAGUAGGGAAUCUUCCGCAAUGGGCGAAAGCCUGACGGAGCAACGCCGCGUGAGUGAUGAAGGUCUUCGGAUCGUAAAACUCUGUUAUUAGGGAAGAACAAACGUGUAAGUAACUGUGCACGUCCUGACGGUACCUAAUCAGAAAGCCACGGCUAACUACGUG